AUCUGCACGGCGCGUCCCAGCCCUGCAUGCUCACAGCCACAUCCAGCCGGACCCAGCUGUCCCUCGAGGGGAUGCCACGUAUCCCCCCCAGCCAUUGAGAUCCACUGGGAUCCAUUGGGGUCUGGUUUUCCUCCACCCUGGGUCCCCCCAGCACGAUGACUGUUCCCAGCCCCAGCGGCUGUGCAGCGCUUCUGUGUGGAACGAGAUUUAAAGCAGCGCAGCAAAUAGGUGAUAGAAAAACCAAACUCUAUUAAAAACCCAUUUUCUGCAGGCUGCUGGCAGCUGGCUGAGCAGAGGCAGGAAGGAGGCUGUGAGCACCGAGACAUGCAGGAGCUGCCGAUUGCUGUGGGAUGGGUGCAUGCUGGCAGCACCGAGGAUGUGCACUGCUUGAUCCUGGAAACAAGGCUAUCCGUUUCAAUUAGAGCAAGCAGGGAAGCGGCUAUUAAGUGCUUCGUUAUUAUGGUAAUGGAUCUACUCUGCAUGCACGGGGAAGGCCUCGCACCCUCCCGCCAGUGUCCAAUUUUUUAUCUCUAAUUCCUCCCCUGGGUCUUCUCCCAUCCGUGACAUGAACGAUGAGAACCACGGUGGCUCCGGCUCUAGGGAGGCAGAGCAGUGCCUCUCCCUCAGCCCGGAGGUGGGGGGGUGAUGGGCACCCAUGCCCUGGGGCUGUACUCUUGUAGGGGCUCUGCUCAGUGGGAUGGGGACCCUCGGUGAGGAUGUGCCCUGCAGCGCAGGACUGCUACAUGGGACCCCGUGCUCCUCAUAGGCGCCGGUGUCUGCCAUCAGCG
RNAcentral lists this long non-coding RNA (788 nucleotides) under Pavo cristatus (Indian peafowl). Its description in RNAcentral is "lncRNA (ENSPSTG00000010988.1)". The record is from RNAcentral. Lineage: Eukaryota; Metazoa; Chordata; Aves; Galliformes; Phasianidae.